RNAcentral lists this unclassified non-coding RNA (330 nucleotides) under soil metagenome. RNAcentral's name for it is "partial contains 5.8S ribosomal RNA, internal transcribed spacer 2, and large subunit ribosomal RNA". The stretch from base 1 to 120 matches the Rfam family "5.8S ribosomal RNA", at positions 35 to 154 of the family's 154-position model. The record is from RNAcentral.
GAUGAAGAACGCAGCGAAAUGCGAAAAGUAAUGUGAAUUGCAGAAUUCAGUGAAUCAUCGAAUCUUUGAACGCACAUUGCGCCCCUUGGUAUUCCGAGGGGCAUGCCUGUUCGAGCGUCAUUUCAACCCUCAAGCACAGCUUGGUCUUGGGCUUCGCCGCUAACCCGGCGGGUCUUAAAAUCAGUGGCGGUGCCGUCGGGCCCUGAGCGCAGUAAUCUCUCUCGCUAUAGGGUCCCGGCGGAUGCUGGCCAGUAACCCCCAAUUUUCUAUGGUUGACCUCGGAUCAGGUAGGGAUACCCGCUGAACUUAAGCAUAUCAAUAAGCGGAGGA